RNAcentral lists this ribosomal RNA (709 nucleotides) under Trichosalpinx egleri. RNAcentral describes it as "eukaryotic LSU rRNA". The stretch from base 266 to 424 matches the Rfam family "5.8S ribosomal RNA". Lineage: Eukaryota; Viridiplantae; Streptophyta; Magnoliopsida; Asparagales; Orchidaceae. The record is from RNAcentral.
CAAGGUUUCCGUAGGUGAACCUGCGGAAGGAUCAUUGUCGAGAUCGAAAUACCGAGCGACUCAGAAAACCUGUGAAUGAGCGGUGGCACAUGNCCAUCGCGUAGCAUUCGUCCCUGACGUUGGCCGCGUCACCCGUCGAGGCCACGAUGAGGGGCGGGUGAAACUCAAACCGGCGCAGCUACGCGCCRAGGGAAUAAGAAAGAAACACGAGCCCAKAUCGGGCUUGGUGGCGUGGAGUGCUAUUGCGCACCACACGGAUCAWAAMGACUCUCGGCACAUGGAUAUCUCGGCUCUCGCAUACGAUGAAGAGCGCAGCGAAAUGCGAUACGUGGUGCGAAUUGCAGAAUCCCGCGAACCAUCGAGAAUUUGAACGCAAGUUGCGCCCGAGGCCASCGUGGCUAAGGGCACGUCCGCCUGGGCGUCAAGCGUUGCAUCGCUCCGUGCCAUCCCCAUCCCCACCCGGUGGGUGCGGAUGUGGGAGGGUCGGAUGUGGAGAGUGGCUCGUCGUGCCYGUCGGUGCGGCGGGCUGAAGAGCGGGUGAUCUUCUCGUCGGCAACGAGCAGCGAGGGGUGGAUGAAAGUUGUGCCUGUGCUGUAUCGUGUCGACCCGAGAAGAGAUUACACCCUGAAGAUGAUCCCAACCCAAGCGUUGAUCCACAKGCGACGGCUUGCAAUGCGACCCCAGGAUGGGCGAGGCCACCCGCUGAAUU